This 406-nucleotide ribosomal RNA is filed under the name uncultured bacterium. RNAcentral describes it as "partial 16S ribosomal RNA". It matches the Rfam family "Bacterial small subunit ribosomal RNA", at positions 29 to 526 of the family's 1533-position model. The record is from RNAcentral.
AUUGAACGCUGGCGGCAGGCCUAACACAUGCAAGUCGAGCGAGCGGCGGACGGGUGAGUAAUGUCUGGGAAACUGCCUGAUGGAGGGGGAUAACUACUGGAAACGGUAGCUAAUACCGCAUACCAUCAGAUGUGCCCAGAUGGGAUUAGCUAGUAGGUGGGGUAACGGCUCACCUAGGCGACGAUCCCUAGCUGGUCUGAGAGGAUGACCAGCCACACUGGAACUGAUACACGGUCCAGCCUCCUACGGGAGGCAGCAGUGGGGAAUAUUGGACAAUGGGCGCAAGCCUGGUGGAGCCAGGCCGCGUGUGUGAAGAGGGCGUUCGGGUUGGAAAGCGCUUUCAGCGGGGAGGCGUUACCCGCAGAAGAAGCACCGGCUAACUCCGGGCCAGCAGCCGCGGUAAUUC